GUCUGUUAAUUUUGAACUAAAUGAAGCAGAUUGCUGUUAGAGACAGGAGAAGUCAUUUUACAUUUUCCUAACAUUGUGUAGGUUUUUAGGUUAUGCACAAAAGUUCUUUCUAUCAUUAUGCCAUCACAGAAGGGCCAAGGAUUUGCCUCAAUAGUUACCUACAGGAGCAUCAGGUAUUCGAGCCUCAUCCUGUCAUCUUGGGGGACACAACUAAACCUACAACACACUGAUAAUGCUGGAGGGGUGUGCUGAAGAGAGAUUAGAGUCAGAUCCUGGAAAAGUCAAGAUACUGAUCUCAAUCCAGUGUGACCCACGUCGGACUUUUGACCUAAAGAACUGAAAGAUGAUAAUUUGAAUUUAAGCCAGUAAGUAUGUGACAAUUUCCUACAUCUGUGAUAGAAACCUACUAUAUAUUCAAUACCAUGCUUCGAUGGAAGAAAACAAGGUUUCCUUGGAGAAACAGCUAACCAUAAGGCUGGAGUGGGGAACAUGUAAAUAAGCUAUGGUUAUCUCUCACAAGACAAGAAGUCUCACUGAAGCCAAGUCCAUUUACUCACCACUCAAAAAAGACCCAGAAAUUUACUUGGCAAACCAACAAAACUGGGAAGACAGGCCUGGCGUGCUGAUAUAACCUCUUAAAUCAGCAUACGUUGAAGUUCCUUUUACCUUUAUUAAACAGGCA
Molecule: long non-coding RNA, 682 nt
Filed under: Fukomys damarensis (Damara mole-rat)
Lineage: Eukaryota; Metazoa; Chordata; Mammalia; Rodentia; Bathyergidae
Description: lncRNA (ENSFDAG00000021695.1)
Source: RNAcentral